Molecule: unclassified non-coding RNA, 250 nt
Filed under: plant metagenome
Description: partial contains small subunit ribosomal RNA, internal transcribed spacer 1, and 5.8S ribosomal RNA
Source: RNAcentral
GUAGGUGAACCUGCGGAAGGAUCAUUAAUACGUAUCCAACGUUAAACCCCCCCUGUGCUAUAUCCAGGCGAGUUGGCAAGUGGAGGCUGCCAAGUGCAGCUUGCAUUGAAGACCACUGGGUACAGUAUUGGCAGUCGGGAUUGAGCUUGCAAUAGGCUUGGUUGCCCCAAGGUGCGUAUGUCUGACAGAGUCAACGUGCUGUAAGGAUAUCUUGGACAAGUAGUUUCUGAAAGCGAUACUAUUUGGAGAU